GACGAACGCUGGCGGCGUGCCUAAUACAUGCAAGUAGAACGCUGAAGGAGGAGCUUGCUUCUCUGGAUGAGUUGCGAACGGGUGAGUAACGCGUAGGUAACCUGCCUGGUAGCGGGGGAUAACUAUUGGAAACGAUAGCUAAUACCGCAUAAGAGUAGAUGUCGCAUGACAUUUGCUUGAAAGGUGCAAUUGCAUCACUA
RNAcentral lists this ribosomal RNA (200 nucleotides) under uncultured bacterium. RNAcentral describes it as "partial 16S ribosomal RNA". It matches the Rfam family "Bacterial small subunit ribosomal RNA", at positions 28 to 220 of the family's 1533-position model. The record is from RNAcentral.